RNAcentral lists this ribosomal RNA (262 nucleotides) under uncultured bacterium. Its description in RNAcentral is "partial 16S ribosomal RNA". It matches the Rfam family "Bacterial small subunit ribosomal RNA", at positions 524 to 784 of the family's 1533-position model. The record is from RNAcentral.
UACGGAGGGUGCGAGCGUUGUCCGGAAUCACUGGGCGUAAAGGGCGCGUAGGCGGCUCAUGAAGGCUGUGGUGAAAGUCCGGGGCUCAACCUCGGAUCGGCCGUGGCGACUCGUGGGCUGGAGCACUGUAGAGGCGGGUGGAAUUCCGGGUGUAGCGGUGGAAUGCGUAGAGAUCCGGAAGAACACCAGUGGCGAAGGCGGCCCGCUGGGCAGUGGCUGACGCUGAAGCGCGACGGCGUGGGGAGCAAACGAGGAAUUGAUA